GAUGAACGCUAGCGGCAGGCCUAACACAUGCAAGUCGAGGGGUAGCAGGAUUAAGCUUGCUUAAUUGCUGACGACCGGCGCACGGGUGCGUAACGCGUACGCAACCUACCUUAUACUGGGGUAUAGCCCGGAGAAAUUCGGAUUAAUCCCCCAUAGUACUAAUGAAUCGCAUGGUUUAUUAGUUAAAGCAUUGCGGUAUAAGAUGGGCAUGCGUCCUAUUAGCUAGAUGGUGAGGUAACGGCUCACCAUGGCUACGAUAGGUAGGGGGCCUGAGAGGGUGGUCCCCCACACUGGUAAUGAGACACGGACCAGACUCCUACGGGAGGCAGCAGUGAGGAAUAUUGGUCAAUGGGCGCAAGCCUGAACCAGCCAUGCCGCGUGCAGGAAGAAUGCCCUAUGGGUUGUAAACUGCUUUUAUUUGGGAAUAAACCUCUUUACGUGUAGAGAGCUGAAGGUACCAAAUGAAUAAGCACCGGCUAACUCCGUGCCAGCCGCCGCGGUAA
RNAcentral lists this ribosomal RNA (503 nucleotides) under uncultured bacterium. RNAcentral describes it as "partial 16S ribosomal RNA". It matches the Rfam family "Bacterial small subunit ribosomal RNA", at positions 28 to 523 of the family's 1533-position model. The record is from RNAcentral.